RNAcentral lists this ribosomal RNA (404 nucleotides) under Verrucomicrobiota bacterium. RNAcentral describes it as "Verrucomicrobia bacterium partial 16S ribosomal RNA". It matches the Rfam family "Bacterial small subunit ribosomal RNA", at positions 355 to 776 of the family's 1533-position model. Lineage: Bacteria; Pseudomonadati; Verrucomicrobiota. The record is from RNAcentral.
UGGGGAAUAUUGCACAAUGGGGGAAACCCUGAUGCAGCGACGCCGCGUGAGCGAAGAAGGCCUUCGGGUCGUAAAGCUCUUUUAUGAGGGAAGAUAAUGACGGUACCCCAAGAAAAAGCCCCGGCUAACUACGUGCCAGCAGCCGCGGUAAUACGUAGGGGGCUAGCGUUGUCCGGAAUCACUGGGCGUAAAGGGUUCGCAGGCGGAAUAACAAGUCAGAUGUGAAAGGCAUGGGCUCAACCCAUGUAAGCAUUUGAAACUGUAAUUCUUGAGAAGUGGAGAGGUAAGUGGAAUUCCUCGUGUAGCGGUGAAAUGCGUAGAUAUUAGGAGGAAUACCUGUGGCGAAGGCGACUUACUGGACACAAAUCUGACGCUGAGGAACGAAAGCGUGGGUAGCAAACAGG